Molecule: ribosomal RNA, 253 nt
Filed under: uncultured bacterium
Lineage: Bacteria
Description: partial 16S ribosomal RNA
Rfam family: Bacterial small subunit ribosomal RNA
Source: RNAcentral
UACGGAGGGGGCUAGCGUUGUUCGGAAUUACUGGGCGUAAAGCGCUUGUAGGCGGCUUGUUAAGUUCCGUGUGAAAUCCCCAGGCUUAACCUGGGAAGUGCGCGGAAAACUGGCGAGCUUGAGUGCCGGAGAGGGUCGCGGAAUUCCCGGUGUAGAGGUGAAAUUCGUAGAUAUCGGGAGGAACACCAGUGGCGAAGGCGGCGACCUGGACGGACACUGAUGCUGAGACGCGAAAGCGUGGGGAGCAAACAGG